This is a non-coding RNA of Phascolarctos cinereus (koala), 223 nucleotides long. The record is from RefSeq and is a predicted model, not a curated record. NCBI's taxonomy places the organism in Eukaryota, Metazoa, Chordata, Mammalia, Diprotodontia, Phascolarctidae.
UACCUGGUUGCCAUAGUUCCCUGGGAGCAGAAUGAGGACACUGUGAUUGCUUCCUUUAUGUGAGGGGAAGAGAAGAAAAGGAAGCCUAGAAUGAGGAGGACAAGCAGUGCGUGCCAUGGGCCACCUCUGGAAGCUUGGUUGAGGCUUCUGAAAAAAAGCAAUGUCACACUUGACAUAGCCCUUCAGCCCAGCUGAGAUGUCAUCUGGGUCUGACAGGAUAGCC